GUGGACCUGCGUGUGUGAGGAAACCUCGCCAGGGAAUCACAAAUCGAAACCGCAUCAACGAACCAUGAUCGCCACACGAAGAAUCACAAGAUACAUAUAUCACUAACAUUAAUUGGCUACUGACUAAAUCAUAACACACGCAAAAAAACAGUUAUAUACAGCAUAAGGAAAAACAAAUCAUCAUGUGAAUCUCAUCCUUGACAUAUGUACAGCAGAGGCCUUGAUGUGUCAAGAACCCUUGACACAUCAAAAGUUGCAAACACUUUGAUGCGAAUCUCAUCAUUCUAUCGUCAAGUAAAUAGCUGCAAACAAUCUGAUCCGUGAAGAAGAGUUUUUUACAAAAUAUGGCACAUACAAGAAUCUUGUAGGAAUCACUGAUAUGGACAAGAUCAGAGCUAAUUUAGCACUUGAGGGCCUAUAAAACUGAAACAUGUUUCUCUGAUGCCUUUUUUAGGUGAUAGAAACAAGAAAAGGCAUUGCAAGUAUAGUAGAGCAGAGCAAGGCAGAGGAGGGAACCGGUGGCUUACCAUCUUGCCGGAGUAGAAGAAGAACAGGGGCGAAACUGUCGCAAGCAGCAGGCAUCACAAUUUGCAUGUGUGAAUGACAGACAUGAACUCGUGCAGCCGUACCCGCAGAUGUAACCGGCACACAAAGAAUCGCAAGAUACAUAUCUCAAUAACCUUGCUUGGCUGCUCUCUAAAUCAUAAAUAAAACACAGAAAAUUUGAGUGUGAGUCUCACGUCGCAUUUGUUCAGAGCUGACUUUUUUAGGUUAUAAAAAAUCAUUGAAAAACUGAAACUUGUACAAGAACAGUGGAGCAGAGUAGAGCAGGUAGGGAACCAGUGGCUUACCAGAUUGCCAGAGUGGAAGAAGAAUCCCCCCGCACGCACCACACGCAGCCGGCUCUGUCGUGCACCUGCGUGUGUGAGGGAACCUCGUCAGGGAAUCACAAAUCUAAACCGCAUCUGGGAACCAUGACCGGCACACGAAGAAAGAAUCACAAGAUACAUAUUAUCACUGACAUUGAUUGGCUACUGACUAAAUCAUAAAACACAAAAAGUAAUUCAGUUGUAUACAGUACAGCAUAAGGCCCAAACAAAACAAAUUAUCAUGUGAAUCUCAUCCUUGACACAUGUACAACAGAGGCUUUGAUGUCAUGACAAGUUGCAAACACUUUCGCAUCCUUGUCUCAUCAAGUAAAUAGCUGCAAACACAUUGAUGUGUCAAGAACAGUUUUUUUCACAAAAUUUCGCACAUACAAGAAGUCAAGAACCCUUGUAGGAAUAGCUGGUAUAUACAAGAGCAGGGCUAAUUUAGCACUUGUUGAGAAGCUAUAAAAACUGAAAGCCUACAGAACUGAAACGUGUUUCUCUGGUUCAGACCGGCCCUUUUUAGGUGAUAUAGAAACUUGAAAGAUAUUGCAAGUAGAGUGGAGUAGAGGAGGGAACCGGUGGCUUACCAUCGUGCUGGAGUGGAAGAAGAACAGGGGCGCCGGAGGAGAGGCCAUCAGGGUGGAAGAACGGGAGUCCCCACGGUCGGUGUUGUGUUGUUGUGGAGAAGGAGCCGACCGUCGGUGUCGUCUCACGGCAACUCCUCCUGGUGGUCCGCCUCCGUCGUCAGACGAGACCCCCAUCAGUGCGUCCGUCCAUGGAGGAUUCCGAUCUUCCCAUCCACGGCGAGGCAGAGGUAGAGGUGGGAAUCACGCACCACGGCGGCCGGGAACGCCAUGGCCGCUGCUUGAUGUGGGGCCUGGGCAGGGAGAGGGUGAGGGCAGCGGCGGCGGGGGUGGGCGGUGGAUGGGGGCGGCCAUGUCGGAGGGAGAGGGGAACGAGAUGCAGACGGCUGCCCCUGGAGACGGGAGACGAGGUAGGGGCUAGUGAGGGAUAUAGACAGAGGGAGUCCACCGGAU
This 1909-nucleotide long non-coding RNA is filed under the name Triticum aestivum (bread wheat). RNAcentral's name for it is "long non-coding RNA (TAES_LNC025967)". The record is from RNAcentral. Lineage: Eukaryota; Viridiplantae; Streptophyta; Magnoliopsida; Poales; Poaceae.